AACCUAUGGUGAGGGCACCUUCUCAAUAAAUCCUUAUACCUCUCUCAUGCAUCAUAUAGAGUCUCUAGAUCUAUUUGCAUGAAGGAAGAGAUACCAUUCCUCAGCUU
Small nucleolar RNA from Gossypium arboreum, 107 nucleotides. It matches the Rfam family "Plant small nucleolar RNA R71". Rfam says of the family: R71 is a member of the C/D box family of snoRNAs containing the C (UGAUGA) and D (CUGA) box motifs. NCBI's taxonomy places the organism in Eukaryota, Viridiplantae, Streptophyta, Magnoliopsida, Malvales, Malvaceae. The record is from Rfam.